This is a small nuclear RNA of Rhinopithecus bieti (black snub-nosed monkey), 118 nucleotides long. Its record names the gene U5. It matches the Rfam family "U5 spliceosomal RNA". From Rfam's summary of the family: U5 RNA is a component of both types of known spliceosome. The precise function of this molecule is unknown, though it is known that the 5' loop is required for splice site selection and p220 binding, and that both the 3' stem-loop and the Sm site are important for Sm protein binding and cap methylation. NCBI's taxonomy places the organism in Eukaryota, Metazoa, Chordata, Mammalia, Primates, Cercopithecidae. The record is from Ensembl.
AUACUCUGGUUUCUCUUCAAAUCGUAUAAAUCUUUCGCCUUUUACUAAAGAUUUCCGUGGAGAGAAACACUUUUGAGUCUUACAUCAAAUUUUUUGAGGCCUUGUGUUAUGCGAGGCU